Molecule: long non-coding RNA, 1305 nt
Filed under: Ricinus communis (castor bean)
Lineage: Eukaryota; Viridiplantae; Streptophyta; Magnoliopsida; Malpighiales; Euphorbiaceae
Description: long non-coding RNA (RCOM_LNC000277)
Source: RNAcentral
UUUGGGAGAAGCAGUUUUAACCUUAAUUCCAACUAAACAAACUAAAGCAUAGGAAAGGGCAUGAAGAGACAAAAAGCUAUUCAUGUGUAGGGGUCAUCUUGGGCAAAUACUUUUGUAGAUCUGAAUAAAGCUUCACAGACUUGUAGACUUUAAGAAAGAAACCAAUGGUACAUGAGACAGAUACUUGGCUUUAUUAAACUAGAACAAUAUACUUCCAGGUGAAUAUAAAUCAGAAGUACAAACAUCAAAUACUUGAACUACCCAUUUCUCUCCUGACUUUGGUAAAAAUGUAUGUAUAUAUAUAUGGUGUAACAAAUGAAUUUGACAUGCUUCUUCCAAAAUAUAUGCCAUUCUUUUUUUUUGAUAGCCAGGACAAAUAAGACCCAUUGAGGAAAAUGAGAGAUGAAAUCAUGGGAAUCCAGCACAAAGCCAAAGCAAUAAUGGGUAGAGAUAUUUUUUCUGAGGAGGAAAUUCCAUACACUGGAUUUUGUGUAACAGAAGAUAUUCUUCUUGAGCUAAGGGAGUUGGAGAAGAGGUUACACAUAAAUACGUAUAAAACAUAUAGAUAUAGAAACAAAGAAUUAAUAGUUGUGAUUGUCAGGCAAAUAUUUUUGUGGUUGAAAUAUAAAGAAGCAAACAAUGCAUGAAAGGAAAAGAAAGAAAGAAGGACCAGCUAACCAAAGGCAGCCUUUUCUCCUCCUCUCUACCUAGUGGUCCUAUAUGAAAAAGCACUUGCUGCUCUAUGAUCACAUAAAUGCUAUGUGAUGAUCAUUUAGAUUACAUCCCAAUGCCACCAUAAGAUGUCUGUUGGUUGUUUAUGUGUAAGAAAGAGAGAGAUCUAGAGAGAGGAGUCAAAGGUGAAAAUGGAAAUACAUGCAUUGGCUCUAUAUUUUUAUUUUCUUUUGUUCGAAACACAAACCAAAAAACCAAGGAAAACUUGUAAGUGUGGAGAGGGAGAGAGAGGUGAUUCAUGAAGCUCAUGGGUUGAGCUAGUUUCUUUUAUCAUCAUUUUGUCGAUGCAUAUACCAAGAAAAAAUAAAAAAGGAAAAAAAGUGUAAGAACUUUAACUAUUGCUUUUAGGAGAAAUUGAUGAGAAAAACGUAAGGCUAAUAGUUGAGAUGAUUUUAGUGAUGUAUCUUUCUUCUAGCUAGGGUUUAUUAUAAACCAAUGCCCUAUCCUUUUCACUAACAACCGCAUCUCAAUUGUACAUUAGGCCCUAUCAUUCUCUCUAUAAGGACCUAAUGGUACCCGAUUCUCAUAUAAUAUCAUCUAUUGCAUUAUUUUCGCUACCCUUUUUGUUUGAAG